CUCCUGUAACCAAAGAGCUGGGUGAUGCAGCAUUGCUGACUGCUUUAAGUCCUGCAGAGCAUGUUGAUAGUCCACCCUUGCCAAGCAAGUAAUCUGCAAGGGAUAGACAGUGUAAGCUGUCCAUUCCUGGCAGGUAAUGACCUGGAUACGGGCUCAGGCUGGCAACAGAGCAGUCCAAACUAGGCUCUACUUGCAGUGGCAGGAUA
RNAcentral lists this signal recognition particle RNA (206 nucleotides) under Polarella glacialis. Its description in RNAcentral is "partial Protozoan signal recognition particle RNA". It matches the Rfam family "Metazoan signal recognition particle RNA", at positions 19 to 241 of the family's 299-position model. Rfam says of the family: The signal recognition particle (SRP) is a universally conserved ribonucleoprotein. It is involved in the co-translational targeting of proteins to membranes. The eukaryotic SRP consists of a 300-nucleotide 7S RNA and six proteins: SRPs 72, 68, 54, 19, 14, and 9. The record is from RNAcentral. Lineage: Eukaryota; Dinophyceae; Suessiales; Suessiaceae.